This 253-nucleotide ribosomal RNA is filed under the name uncultured bacterium. RNAcentral's name for it is "partial 16S ribosomal RNA". It matches the Rfam family "Bacterial small subunit ribosomal RNA", at positions 524 to 776 of the family's 1533-position model. The record is from RNAcentral.
UACGUAGGGUGCAAGCGUUGUCCGGAAUUAUUGGGCGUAAAGGGCUCGUAGGCGGUCCAUCGCGUCGGGAGUGAAAAGCUGGGGCUCAACCCCAGUCCUGCUUCCGAUACGGGUGGACUAGAGGUAUGCAGGGGAGAACGGAAUUCCUGGUGUAGCGGUGAAAUGCGCAGAUAUCAGGAGGAACACCGGUGGCGAAGGCGGGACUCUGGGCCGAUACUGACGCUGAGGAGCGAAAGCGUGGGGAGCAAACAGG